UUCUUGCAUUCUUGCAAGUAUUUUGUCAUGGAUGAGGCAGGGAUUUGUCUUCACUGAGAUAAACACUCUAGAUUUCGAUAUGCUUCACUUUCUUACAUGCUAUUGCUAGCAGGACCAUCUGUGAACUUACUGAACGCUUUAUACCUCAUAUCUCAACAUUUUUUGGACCCAUUUCUAUACAUUAUACAGAAAGGGUAAGGUAAUGCAUGGAUGACCAUGGGACUUGGUAGUCCUAAUGUGUACCACAUUCCUUAUAAGCAGAAGUCUGAAUUUUUGGAAGACUCAGUUAAAGUGGCAUGUAGUCAUUUAGCACCCUCUUGGAGUACUGUUCAAUUUUGGACGUUGUAGAUGAGCUGAAUAGUGACUAAGAAAAAGCAUAAUUUCUUCUGUAGCCAAAAUGCAUUGGUUAAAGAAAGGAGAGGUAGGAAUGGAGUGGUACCUCUCAUAUUACACUUAAUAAUAGCCAACUCAAAAAAGUUAUGCUUUUCAUGUUUCCAACUCAGGGCUCUCUGCUGUUUUUUUGUUUUAGAAAAGGAGGAGUACAUACUCCCACCAGUAGUCAUGGAGAUGCCUCUGUUUAUUGAUUUACCAAAAAUGAUUUAUUUUUAUAUGAAGUUUAAAGCAGUUUAAAUUACAUUCAUUUGCUGGCUUAGAGAACUGUGGGAAGUCUUGACUUAAUGGGUGUUGGGCUUUUGGACUCCUCCUCUGUCAGUUUUCUUUUUGUUUCUGUUUCCCCCCCUUCCCCCACCCCUCCCCUCUCUUUUUAGGGCCAUAGGCAAGGAGCCGUGACAGACAAUUUGAGUGUUUUUAAAAAUACUCUCAUAAAAAAUAUACCUUCGACUGGGUGCGGUGGCUCACGCAUGUAAUCCCAGCACUUUGGGAGGCUGAGGCAGGCACAUCACUUAAGGUCAGGAGUUAGAGAUCAGCCUGGCCAACAUGGUGAAACCUGGUCUUUACUAAAAACACAAAAAUAAGCCAGUCAUGAUGGUGCGUGCCUGUAGUUCCAGCUACUUGGGAGCCUGAGGCAGGAGAAUCACUUGAACCUGCAAGGCAGAGGUUGCAAUGAGCUGAAAUCGUGCUACUGCACUCCAGCCUGGGCAACACAGCGAGACUCUGUUUCAAAAAAAAAAAAAAAAAGCAAAACAUUUUUUCCCCAACACUUUCCAAAGAAUGGUUUAAAAGCAAUGACAAUCCAUGAUCAGUGAGAAUUCCCACCCAGACUAUGGUCUCUCAAUUCCUUUUUCAAAGGGGCAGUCAGGCUACUUGGAGACUUGGGUAAAUUUAUGGAUUUUAAUACAUUCAGGAGGAACAGCAAUCAAAUGCCAUAUUUGGAUCUGGUGGGAUCUCAUUCAGAUAAAAUCAAUAUAAAAAAUAUUUGAGACAAUUCCGGAUUUUCUUUCUUUAAGGGCUAGGUAUUGGAUAAUGUUACACAUCAUUUUUUAAAUUUUCUUAGGUGUAAAAUCUUAGCGUAUUUUCUUUAUAUCCAUAUCUGUUAGGAUACUUGUGAAAAUAUUCAUGAUUAAAAUCACAUAUUUGGGAUUUCAUGUUUCGGAUAUUUUUUAGACUCCCUCAUCUGUCAGUGUGGGUGCGGAUAAUGAAACAAAAUGGGCAAGAUGUUGGUAAUUGUUGAAACCUGUGCGACGAGACUUGGGAAGUGCAGGAUUCUCUAUAUUUUUGUGUCUACUUCAGGAUGUCCAUGACCACUCCCUUUCCCCUCCAAAAAAAAGUUAAAAAAAAAAAAAAAACUGGCCAAUCAGUGAACAUAUUUCUUUUUUGGUCAACAAAGGGCUACCCUGAGAGGAAUCUACAUGCAGAGAAGUUCAGGCGACUGAACUAACAGGAAGCGCUACGGGCUGGAGAGCUGCUGUUGGCACAGGGAGGAGUUCUCCGGGCCGCACCCUCCCUCCGUCCCGCAGGCGAGUUGAGAAGCGCUAUUGCCAUCUUGUGGCGAUAAUGGAUAGGAUAAUGUAGCUAAAACUUUGUUUAGUUUUAUGAGUUGAGAAGCGCUGUCGCCAUCUUGUGGCAAUAACGGAUAGGAUAAUGUAGCUAAAACUUUGUUUCGUUUUAUGAUUUCGAUUAGGCAUUUCAUUGCUACGGUUUAAUAAUUGAAUAUACAAAAAAUACUAUAAACCAUCCCAUCCCCAACAGCCCCCCGCCGCCCAGUUCCCCCAUCUACUUGGCAAAGAUUCUCUUUUUGACCAAACUCUAGGCGGCUUCUUCUAAGCCCUCUUCUGGACUAGGUGGCCACCUUGGCCUAUAAAGACCUGAACAAACCUGAACAUAGUUACUAAUAGCGCCGGUCUCCUCAAGUGCCUGCCUGAGAAAACUCAAUUGAUGCCGCCAAAGGAAUUUACCGUUUGUUUCAGUCAACGUCUGAAGAUAGGGCCCUCGUCUGCCACUCUCUGUGGUAGGAGUGGAGCCUGAUUUUGAUAUGUGCCAGUUAUGAAACCCAGAUGGUUCCCCACUGUCAGUGGUUACUAAAUAAAAUCUGUUUUCGUCAUU
Pongo abelii (Sumatran orangutan) is the source of this 2502-nucleotide long non-coding RNA. Lineage: Eukaryota; Metazoa; Chordata; Mammalia; Primates; Hominidae. The record is from Ensembl.